Molecule: long non-coding RNA, 1212 nt
Filed under: Capra hircus (goat)
Lineage: Eukaryota; Metazoa; Chordata; Mammalia; Artiodactyla; Bovidae
Description: lncRNA (ENSCHIG00010012484.1)
Source: RNAcentral
GACAGAGGAUGAGAUGGCUGGAUGGCAUCACCGACUCGAUGCACAAGAGUCGGACACGACUGAGCGACUGAACUGAACUGAACUGAACUGGCUUUAUAAAAUAUUCUUGUAGCAAUAACUUCAAAUGACAUCUGAAAAAUCCUAUUAGCCCCAUUUUGCCAGUGAGGAAAUGGAGGCUUAAACAUGUUGUGAAUGUUAAACAAGUUCAGUCUUUGGUAGGCAUGAAGCUAAGACUCCAGCUAAAAAAUCUUGAUCAGAAAUCCAGUACUUUUCAUCUGGACUCAAACUUCAUGGCAAAUUUUACUCCCUGCUCCUUUAUUCCUAAACACAUGGUCCUCAGGGUACCUGAUCCAAAUGGCUUACUCUGAUGACUGGCAGGCCAAGAUAGUAAACACAGGAGGCCUAGAACCUCUUCAGAUUAUCUAGUUAUCAAAUUGACCCUGAUAGGAGCGUCCCCAUCAUGGCCCGCUCGGGGUCUCUGUCAGGCCCCAUCCCAGGCACUCUCAGUGGGGUUUCUUCUUAUCCUCUCCCUUUCGGGGAAGGCCUCUCUGGGAUAAGCUUACAGUCUGUUUUCAGGUGCCCGUCCUCUCCUUUGUGAUGCAGUCUGUGUUUCCAAGUCUCUGCCGCUUUGGGUGUUUCUCUGAGAAUUCUCUCUAUUGUACCUUGAGCCAGGUGGAGUCUGAGGUGAGCAGCUGAGAGGACAGCAUACCCUUGUUCUGCUGUUCCUCCCUGUCUGAAGGAGAGAGGAAAGUGGGGAGGAGAGAGAGGAACUGCCUGACCCAUCUGUGCUACAGGACUCAUGCCCUUGGCCUUUCUCCCCAGCCAGCCGACUUAUCAGUAUGGUGGAGAGCUUAUCUUGGGAGGCGUGGACACUCAGCUCUAUUCCGGUGAUCUCGUCAGGACCCCUGUCACCUGGGAGCUGUACUGGCAGAUUGUCAUCCAGGAGGAUAUGCUAUGAAGUACUGGAGAGACAACGGCAUCCCUUCGGAGAAACUCAUGGAGUUCGCCACCUAUGGGAGGACCUUCCAGCUCAGCACUUCUGACACCUCAGUCUGUGCCCCAGUCUCUGGAACAGGGUCAUCUGGUACUUACACACAUAAGGCUGGCUUCUGGGCUUACUAUGAGGUAACCACUAUGGCUAAUUCAGGCUAAAAUGCCCUGGGGAAAAUUCAACCCUCCAAGUCAUCUUGCUAUUCUUAUAUUCUUGAGAUU